Molecule: long non-coding RNA, 315 nt
Filed under: Gallus gallus (chicken)
Lineage: Eukaryota; Metazoa; Chordata; Aves; Galliformes; Phasianidae
Description: lncRNA (ENSGALG00010011073.1)
Source: RNAcentral
GUCUCUAAAGAUACAGAGAGGGACAGGCAAUGAUAAUAUGAUGGAAACACCAUACAUGAGGAGUUCUUCACUCAGAGGGUGGUGACGCACUGAACAGGUUGCCCAAGGAGGCUGUGGAUGCCCCAUCCCUGGAGGCAUUCAAGGCCAGGCUGGAUGUGGCUCUGGGCAGCCUGGUCUGCUGGUUGGCGACCCUGCACGUAGCAGGGGGUUGAAACUGGAUGGUCAUUGUGGUCCUUUUCAACCCAGGUCAUUCUAUGGUUCUAUGAUUCUAUGAUAAAAACUAAUAGAGAGUAACAACUUGGAAAAAAAAAAAAA